This is a long non-coding RNA of Hemicordylus capensis (graceful crag lizard), 654 nucleotides long. RefSeq lists it as uncharacterized. The record is from RefSeq and is a predicted model, not a curated record. NCBI's taxonomy places the organism in Eukaryota, Metazoa, Chordata, Lepidosauria, Squamata, Cordylidae. The transcript has 2 exons.
CUUGGUUGGCUAACGGUUCUGAGUGGAGCAGCCGCAGCUCUGAGGCCCCAGGAGACGGGCCGGGACAUGAGGAUGCCAAAAGUUGGGAAGCGAGGUGAAUUCAAGAGGAAGAGUCACUCUCCUGAGCAUGGAAACCAAACCGUAAACGUCACUCACACAUCUUCUCCAAGCAUCAGGGCUCUGGCAAGAGAGGCUGUUCAUAUAUCCCACCAAUACUGGCUCUACCCUCUUGCCUCACAGAUCUGGUGUUAUAAAUGGUAGCUCCUCCACCCUACUCCACCCCAAAGCUGUUGGGACUCAUCACCAAGAUAUUUCCCCCAAGAAUCUGUCUUCAGUAACAAGAGGUUGCCCUCAGACAUCUCAGCCAAGAAAGGCUCGUUUUUUGAGCAUGGACAGAGUACUUUUGCCUCCAUCACAAAGAACUCCAAAGUAGCCCUCACAAGAAAUAGAAGCGGGACAGACGGUGUCACUCAUUUGAGAGACUCAUACUAACAAAAGUUAUUGUUUUUGUUAUUGACAGGGAAAGAAAGGGGACAAAAUCAAGUGGACGGGCAAAAUAUUUUCCUCCUCCUGUAAUGUAUACACCCAUGCUAAUUUCUGGUCCGUUAAUUGUGAAUUUGUUAUCACUGAAGCUUCAUUUAAAAUUUAAAUCUG